GAAAAAAAAAAAAGGAAGAAAGUACGUUCUUGGAGUCUCUUCCUGUGAAGGAGCAUGAAAUCGAUUAAAAUAGAGAAAAAUAACUACAUGGAGAAGAAGUGGAACUCUUGCUAUUUCAAGUAUGGAUUUCAAGGGUGAAGUAAUCAACAAUGAGACUGUUUUGCGGGAUCUGAAGCACCAAUUUGAUAUAAAUUGACAGAUUGAGAGUCUAUCAUAAAACCUCGAAGAUUGGGUAUUCUGAAUUUAGUAUGAAUUAGCCUAAACGAAGGAAGUAUUACGAGACCGAUAUGAUGUGAUUAUAGAUUGAUUGAAGGAAGUCAUACAGAUUGCCCAAGUGACAUAUUUGGUACUUCAACACGAGUACUAGAAUUCAGGUGGUAUUGAAGAGGAUUUCAUUAACUAGCGUGUGAGUUGGUAGCAUCUAGUGAGCCCCGCAUUGCUUCGCGUGGCAAGAGAGCUAUUGAUUUGCUAUGUUUAUUUAGUUUCUUUUAAAAACUCUUAGAGUCGCUCCAUUUGUCAUUCCUUUGAUUUGAGUCAGGAUUAGUCCUUCGAAUUGUAGUCAAGUGACUAGUUUGGAACUUUUUCCGUAAUUUGGAGAUGAAUUGGUUUUAUUGCGUGACAAUUUGAUCAUUGUUGGAUAUUAUAUGGUGGUUUAUAGUUGCUAUUAGUUGUGUUGUGAAUUUCUGAGACAGGAAAAAUCCAGGAUAGGCCUAAAAACCAAGGAAACUCUGCCCGAUUUUCUGUAGAAUUCUGGUGAGGCUUGCUUUGGGAUUCUCCCCCUUAGCGCCGGUCAUGAUCCUUAAUUGGGUCGUGACAAUGGUUGUUAAUAGUGCAGAUUUUCUGAUAGAUUCUUUGAAUCCCGAAAUAUGUUGUGUUUAAUGCAAAAUGAGAGACGCUUCUACUAUUCUAAAUCAGUUGCACUUCUUCAGCUGGUCAUACUAUCUAUUCUAGGAUAUGUUCAUCAGAAGUGGCAUCUUGUGAUUGUUUAUUACUUGAAAUAUGAAAAUGCAGAUUCUUUUUAUAUUUUAAGUAUAUAGUUUGUAGAUAAACCUAUUGGGUAUGCCUCAUUGCAUAUAACAAGGCUUAAGACUUGUUCAAAACUGAAAUUGCUUAUUUGCUGAUCCUAACUAGAUGAAGAUCAUGAGAUAUAUUCCCUAUUUACUCUCCUAGAAAUUACUGGAUGACAAUUGCUUGGAGUUAUAUACUAGAUCCAUCAAGGAGACUACUUAUGUGAAAGUAUUGAAGUUCAUAAGAAGAUUACUUUGGUAAGCCGUACAAAAGCAGCAUUGCUUUCACUUUGCGUCCUUCAACCAGAUGCUCUACUUCUUUCACCACUUUAACUUUUUCACCCUUCUGUAUUGACCUUGACACCUAGCAUGAGUGAAUUGAAUGCAACAUGAGAGACUAGAUGACUGCAUACCAUAGGCAAGAGAAGUCUAUAAUAGAAACCAAUGUACUCACAUAAGUUACGGCUUCCAAUUCAGAUUUAUCAUAGACAGUCAAGCCAAGUGAUGUCUGUGAAACCAACCAAGCACUAUUAAUACUACAAAAUGUGAUGGAAGUAAUAAAAUUCCACUUGCUAAUGUAAACACCUGUUCUGCCUACCUUUUGAACAUUUUUUAUCAUCUCUUUUUCAUCAACUAACAGAAUUGGAAUGUAAUAUCGGAUUUUCAUGUUCAUUCCUUUGAAAAAUCUGUGUACUUCAUCAAGAAGGGGCUUACAGUCUCCAGGAUCUGUAACUGCUGUAUAAUGACAAUCAGGGCAAAGUUUCCGACCAUCAUUCAGAGUGAUAUACUUCAGGUCUCCUAUCUACAAAUAGCUGCAGCACUGAGGAGUUCCAUCAGAUGUAUGCUUUUCACAGUAAGUUUGGCCCCAGUAUGUACACCUUGACCAAUCCGAGCAAAUCUGUACCAAACAUAAGUAUCAGGUAAACUCAUUUAGUUAUUUUCUGAUCAUCUUCACAGUUACAACUUACAAGGAUAAAUUAUUUCAAGAAAGACUAAAGGGAAGGACAUUGGAGGAAAGGGAACACAAACCUCUUCUUCACAAACAUCACAAACAAGAAUAUUGCACCGCUUUCUACUCUUUCUCCAGAAAGAAGUGCUCCUACAAAAUCAUAAAAACGUGUCUAAAGAAAAAUAUUUUACUCAUAAACUGAAUAUAUCUUUGAUGCUCUCCACAGUUCUUCACAAUUUCCCACAAUUGAAAAAUAGCUAGCAACACUUGUGUUAUAUUAGAAUGAAACCUGCUUUAACUUAAAACAGGACCAUAAUCCUAACUCGACAUGAAUUAAGUAAACUUGCAAAUACCAAAUCCUAAUCAAUUUAACUUCCUGAAUUAGUUUUCCGAUGGUGUCAAUAUGAUCAAAUGGAAAGCUUAAAAAGUCAUGGCAAAAGAUACUGCAAAAUGAUAAGAACUUCUCAAGGAUUUAGUUCUUAGAAGAAUUAUCAAGAGAGCAAACAGAAGCAUGACUUAAAUUUUGUUUACUUUGCAUGUAUAGCUAAAGGCAAUUUAUUCAUUGCUUAUCUAGAAGCACUUGAAUUGUGUUACACUUACCUUGAUGCAUGGACAAAUGGAUUUAACUCCUUGAAAAGUUUCCACCAUUUCAGCUCUCUGCCUCCAGUACUGGUGCUGUAAUGAUGUAAACAAAUCUGAUCUUAAACUUAAUCAGCUUGCCA
Molecule: long non-coding RNA, 2678 nt
Organism: Solanum stenotomum
Lineage: Eukaryota; Viridiplantae; Streptophyta; Magnoliopsida; Solanales; Solanaceae
Exons: 4
Source: RefSeq, a predicted model, not a curated record